CUCCCAAACGCCGCCGCUCCAGAUCCCUCGUCCCUCACCCUCUCCCCUCGUCUCCCACCCACCGCCGCCACCCACCCGCCGUCCCUCCCAAACUGCGCCUCCGUACCGCCCACCUCCUCUCCUCCCACCUCAAGCAGAGCCCUCUCUCUCCGCCGCCGCCAGACGAUUCUGGCGAUCUCUGGCUCCUGGGGCAUAACACGAGCGGCUCCUGGGGCUCGUCUCGCUCCGCUGGGUCUUCCAGCGCCACCCGCGACCGUCUCCCGUAGCUAGGGUUUUCCCCGGCGUGGUUCGGCGACUCAGAUCCAGGAUGCCAUGGGCGGAUGGCCUCUUCCUCCCCUGCCCCGACGCCAUGAAGUUGCUAGACCUGGCCGUUGGCCGCGAGCCCAGCCACCUCCUUGCGGCCGCAUCGUCUGGAUCUGGCCGACUCUCUAGCCCGGCCGCAUCAUCGGGGUCUGGCCCGCGAGGAUCCAGGCCGCUCACCCCCGCUCCCGUCUGUCGCCGCUCCGGAUCCGCGCCACCCGCGCUCCUCGACCUCGAGCUUCGCCCCCGCCCGUCUGUUGCCGCUCCGAGGCGGCGACACAGCUGGCCUGAGCCCGAGCAAGAGCAGCAACUCAUCUCGCCCAAGCCGUUGGCCGUGAGCCCAGCCACCUCCUCGUCCUGGAAAGGGUUCAACCAAUGCAGCCCACGAGAUGAAUAUAUGAGUAUAUGAGCUAAUGUAUGUUUUGGUAGAUAUAUACAAAUCAAUGUGAAUUCUGAACUGAGCGACCCAUGAGUUCAUCCAUACAAAUAUGUGAAUUCUGAACUGAGUGACCCUUGAGUUCAUCCAUACAAAUAUUCAUCUCGAUAGUCCACUGUUUACUACAGUAGUAGUUAUUUUAGUUUCCACACAUCGGUUAUUCUGAAUUCCCAGUCACAGGUAACUGCCAAACCGCACAACUUAAUUUUACACUACUGGAAAAGGGUGCAAGUUAUGAUUCCUUUGCUGAAGCCUGCACGUCUCUAUCUAAAUUGUUUGUCAUGAGUUUUCUGACUUUAAUCGAUCGCAGCAGCUGGAAGAUGGAGCCUGACCAGAGUGGCACCGGGCAGACUUCUCCCCGUGGGAAUGACUGAGAGGUUGUGCAGCUCACUGCGUGGCCUGCCUAGGGUUUCUGGUGGCUACACGCCGGCCAUGGGUCUCCGAACACCAUGAAGGCGACGAUGCUGAUUCGAUUUGAUCCUCAAGGCCACCCGUGGAUCUUGCUGCAGGAGGUGUGUUUUGGAGAACCAACCUGAGAUGCAGGUGGGUUCUUGGGCCGUGCUCUUCUCGAGCAUGAGGGCCAUGAGGGGUUUGCUCCUCUGCCCCUAGGGCGACCAAGAGGUCCUGCCCUGAGGUCAAGCACGUCCACGCCGACCCACGACGACACGUAGCAUCUCCAUCUCCCUCUGCUUGCUAUUGCUGCUCCGAAUUAUACAUGUUGGCAAAGAGAUGUCCCUGUUUUCCUCAAUACUAUGCACUGCUAUAUUUAUGUGGCUGUCUUUGUGUGCAUCUUAUUUUGAAACCAACUGAGACACCUCCAUCUUAUUAUGUGGUUGUCUUCGUGUAUAUCUAGCGUUGCUCUCACUACCUCCCGUCCCUAGAUUUCCAAUUGCCUUUGUUGCCUGCUCAUUUAAUUAAUUAAAACUGCAUGUGUGCGUGUAAGUAUGGCUGUGAGAACAAGAUCAAUGGUGGCUUCCACCAAACAGAUCAAACUUUUAAUACUUGCUACACAUGCUUGUGUACCUAAACAUAUUGUAAACUUGUUGUUGUUGUUGACCGUGCAGUCUAAAAAACAACACCCGUUCAGUCUCAUUAUUGUGUACCUGAUUGUGUAUGUGAUGAUUGUAGUGAUGAUCUUUGACAUUUGAAAGAUAAAUGGCAUGUUCUUAGUUCUCACCUUUGAGUAGUUUUGAUAUUGCGUUAAAGAGUCAUUUCUCAUUUGUUCUGUUAAAGUUGUCUACACUCUUCCCAAGAGAUGUUGUUUCUUAUUAUUCGUACUUAAAUGGCUUAAAGUUGUAGAAACCAUGUUUUUAGAACAACUAUAGUUGCCUUCAAAAGCUGCAAUUAAUUGGAGAGGGUACCUUAUUAUUUGCUCUCUUUAAUUGUUUUUGCAGGUCCAUAACAGCUCGCUCAAUCAGUAUUGGCUGUGACGUCGAUGGAGAACUAAACCUUGCUGCCACACUCUGCAACAUCAACAGGUGCCUACGUUCGGACUCUACGAACAUACCCGAAAAUGGUGUUCCCUCAUUUACAGGAGCUCUAGUCUGGAAGUGAAGUAGGAAGUAUAUUUGAAGUUCAAGGCCGUGUAGCAAAUAGUUGUAUGUUUUGUCUAUGUGUAAUAGACUAUACAUAUUGUAAUAGACUAUGUACAGAUUAUAGUAGACUAAUUUAGUGUUCUUUGUUGAACUGCAUCUGUUAUAUUUUGUUUGAAAUAAUGAUUAUGUGAUUUGAAAAAAAUCAGUGAAAUGGAAACCUGACUCGUGGGACCAACUUAUGAAAA
Molecule: long non-coding RNA, 2516 nt
Organism: Triticum aestivum (bread wheat)
Lineage: Eukaryota; Viridiplantae; Streptophyta; Magnoliopsida; Poales; Poaceae
Exons: 5
Source: RefSeq, a predicted model, not a curated record